AAGGAUCAUUAUCACAAUUAAUUCAAAACCUAAAUAUAGUUGGAAGCGCUCGUCCCACUCUCUCCUAAGUUUUUUUGGGGGGGCGGGGGAAUGGGCAAACCUUUUCGAACUUUAUUUUAGAAUUGGCUUUAAAAACUAAGCCAAAAAAAAAAUAAAAAUGAAAAAUUUUCAACGGUGGAUAUCUAGGUUCCCGUAACGAUGAAGAACGCAGCGAAAUGCGAUACGCAAUGCGAAUUGCAGAACCCGCGAGUCAUCAGAUCUUUGAACGCAAGUGGCGCCGAUCAUAUCGGCAUGUUUGUUUCAGUGUGGAAGGAAUCACAAAUCAAAAUGCGAUUGACCCCACUCUCCUCAAAAGAGAAGGGGGUACUCUCGUUAAACAAGUCGGGCUAACAUUUGCGAGAACUCUGCAGAUUCGCCGCGCGAAUGAAGUAGUCUCAUCUUAUGUGAGAUCUCGUGCGCGUUUUUCAAAGGCGAAAUUAAAACUCUGCCUAGAGCUCAACAAAGCAGACCGCAAAAAUUUGGACUAGGGACGUAAAGUUUCUUAUAUCCAACACCCCCCCUAUACCACCUGAAAUCAAGCAAGACGACCCGCUGAACUUAA
This 601-nucleotide unclassified non-coding RNA is filed under the name uncultured eukaryote. Its description in RNAcentral is "sequence contains ITS1, 5.8S rRNA gene and ITS2". The stretch from base 164 to 309 matches the Rfam family "5.8S ribosomal RNA". The record is from RNAcentral.